This 1700-nucleotide ribosomal RNA is filed under the name Escherichia coli. RNAcentral describes it as "partial 23S ribosomal RNA". It matches the Rfam family "Bacterial large subunit ribosomal RNA", at positions 1237 to 2915 of the family's 2925-position model. The record is from RNAcentral. Lineage: Bacteria; Pseudomonadati; Pseudomonadota; Gammaproteobacteria; Enterobacterales; Enterobacteriaceae.
CGUUCUGUAAGCCUGUGAAGGUGUGCUGUGAGGCAUGCUGGAGGUAUCAGAAGUGCGAAUGCUGACAUAAGUAACGAUAAAGCGGGUGAAAAGCCCGCUCGCCGGAAGACCAAGGGUUCCUGUCCAACGUUAAUCGGGGCAGGGUGAGUCGACCCCUAAGGCGAGGCCGAAAGGCGUAGUCGAUGGGAAACAGGUUAAUAUUCCUGUACUUGGUGUUACUGCGAAGGGGGGACGGAGAAGGCUAUGUUGGCCGGGCGACGGUUGUCCCGGUUUAAGCGUGUAGGCUGGUUUUCCAGGCAAAUCCGGAAAAUCAAGGCUGAGGCGUGAUGACGAGGCACUACGGUGCUGAAGCAACAAAUGCCCUGCUUCCAGGAAAAGCCUCUAAGCAUCAGGUAACAUCAAAUCGUACCCCAAACCGACACAGGUGGUCAGGUAGAGAAUACCAAGGCGCUUGAGAGAACUCGGGUGAAGGAACUAGGCAAAAUGGUGCCGUAACUUCGGGAGAAGGCACGCUGAUAUGUAGGUGAAGUCCCUCGCGGAUGGAGCUGAAAUCAGUCGAAGAUACCAGCUGGCUGCAACUGUUUAUUAAAAACACAGCACUGUGCAAACACGAAAGUGGACGUAUACGGUGUGACGCCUGCCCGGUGCCGGAAGGUUAAUUGAUGGGGUCAGCGCAAGCGAAGCUCUUGAUCGAAGCCCCGGUAAACGGCGGCCGUAACUAUAACGGUCCUAAGGUAGCGAAAUUCCUUGUCGGGUAAGUUCCGACCUGCACGAAUGGCGUAAUGAUGGCCAGGCUGUCUCCACCCGAGACUCAGUGAAAUUGAACUCGCUGUGAAGAUGCAGUGUACCCGCGGCAAGACGGAAAGACCCCGUGAACCUUUACUAUAGCUUGACACUGAACAUUGAGCCUUGAUGUGUAGGAUAGGUGGGAGGCUUAGAAGUGUGGACGCCAGUCUGCAUGGAGCCGACCUUGAAAUACCACCCUUUAAUGUUUGAUGUUCUAACGUUGACCCGUAAUCCGGGUUGCGGACAGUGUCUGGUGGGUAGUUUGACUGGGGCGGUCUCCUCCUAAAGAGUAACGGAGGAGCACGAAGGUUGGCUAAUCCUGGUCGGACAUCAGGAGGUUAGUGCAAUGGCAUAAGCCAGCUUGACUGCGAGCGUGACGGCGCGAGCAGGUGCGAAAGCAGGUCAUAGUGAUCCGGUGGUUCUGAAUGGAAGGGCCAUCGCUCAACGGAUAAAAGGUACUCCGGGGAUAACAGGCUGAUACCGCCCAAGAGUUCAUAUCGACGGCGGUGUUUGGCACCUCGAUGUCGGCUCAUCACAUCCUGGGGCUGAAGUAGGUCCCAAGGGUAUGGCUGUUCGCCAUUUAAAGUGGUACGCGAGCUGGGUUUAGAACGUCGUGAGACAGUUCGGUCCCUAUCUGCCGUGGGCGCUGGAGAACUGAGGGGGGCUGCUCCUAGUACGAGAGGACCGGAGUGGACGCAUCACUGGUGUUCGGGUUGUCAUGCCAAUGGCACUGCCCGGUAGCUAAAUGCGGAAGAGAUAAGUGCUGAAAGCAUCUAAGCACGAAACUUGCCCCGAGAUGAGUUCUCCCUGACUCCUUGAGAGUCCUGAAGGAACGUUGAAGACGACGACGUUGAUAGGCCGGGUGUGUAAGCGCAGCGAUGCGUUGAGCUAACCGGUACUAAUGAACCGUGAGG